CCUACGGGUGGCUGCAGUGAGGAAUAUUGGUCAAUGGCCGCGAGGCUGAACCAGCCAAGUCGCGUGAGGGAAGACGGUUCUAUGGAUUGUAAACUUCUUUUAUCGGGGAAUAAAAGUAUCCACGUGUGGAUAUUUGCAUGUACCCUAUGAAUAAGCAUCGGCUAACUCCGUGCCAGCAGCCGCGGUAAUACGGAGGAUGCGAGCGUUAUCCGGAUUUCUUGGGUUUAAAGGGUGCGGAGGUUGUUUUUUAAGUCAGCGGUUAAAAUUUGUGGCUCAACCAUUAAAGUGCCGUUGAAACUGGAAGUCUUGAGUGUGUGUGAGGUAUGCGGAAUGCGUGGUGUAGCGGUGAAAUGCAUAGAUAUCACGCAGAACUCCGAUUGCGAAGGCAGCUUACUGAGCCAUAACUGACACUGAUGCACGAAAGUGUGGGUAUCGAACAGGAUUAGAUACCCGUGUAGUC
This 460-nucleotide ribosomal RNA is filed under the name uncultured bacterium. RNAcentral's name for it is "partial 16S ribosomal RNA". It matches the Rfam family "Bacterial small subunit ribosomal RNA", at positions 338 to 795 of the family's 1533-position model. The record is from RNAcentral.